UCCUCCUAUAUAUUAAAAGAGAAGUACAUUGGACACGUGGCGCUCACACAGCUCUUCUGACGAAAAUUCUCGCGAUUCUAUUGGUCGGAUUUUUCUAUUUUUUCUUUUUGAUUUAUUUUUCUACUCGAGCUUUAAAUUUGGAAAGUCACAUUAAUUGUUAAUCGCACUAAUCAUUUCUUGCGCAAGAAUCGUAAUAAAUGUCGACCAUUAAUCAUAGCUUGCAGAACAAUUUUAAUAAAUGUCGACUAAUCAUUAAAUGUCUUAAUGGGAAAUAUGUUUUAUAUCUAAUUAGGAAACUAAUUAUUAUCAACAUACCUUAUUUAUAUUGAUUACUUGCGCAAGUCUCGCAUCAUAUAAUAUGCAUAUUCGUUUUUAAUUUUACAAAUUUAUUAUGUUUCCUUUAAUCAAACGUCAUUUAAUUUACAUACCUUAUUAUAACCAAUUACUUGCGCAAGUCUCGCAAGUAAUAUUAUUUGCGUCGUUAAUAUUCUUCACCAUCAAAGGACUAUAUAUAGAGUACAAAGUGGCGAUGAAGCAACAUAACCAUUCUUCUAUUUUUAUAUAUACAUAUUUUAUCGGAGCUGACUUUUCUUUUGGUUUAUAUGCAGAUACCCUAUUCUAACGAUUUCACCACGAUGCAGCGAAGAAUAUGACACAAAAGCUGAUGUUUUCUCCUUUGCUUUGAUCGUUCAAGAGAUGAUAGAAGGACGAAUGCCAUUUGCUGAAAAGGAAGACAGUGAAGCUUCAGAAGCUUAUGCCAGCAAAGAGCGGCCACUGUUCAAAGCUCCAUCAAAUUGCUUUACCCUCAUGGACUUAAAACGUUGAUAGAAGAAUGCUGGCAAAAUAAACCAGCCAAGCGACCUACUUUCAGAGAGAUCAUUAAACGGCUCGAGUCUAUUCUUCAUCAUAUGGGUCACAAACGACAAUGGGGGAUGAGGCCGUUGACUUGCUUUCAGAAUUUCGAGCACAAGAAGAAACAUAACUGGGAUAUGAGCAGCCAUGACGGCUCAUCAUCCGGUUCAAAUUUGUGAUUCUUUAACCGGUUCAGAAAUGAUUUUUUUUUUCUAUUCCCUCCGGUUUAGUUUGGUCUUCCCCCUAAAGAACCGAAUCUUAUUUUGUCAUUUUGUUCUUCACUGAUGAAAGUCCGUGUGGUCAAAAUCUGGCAUUUUAUCUAUUUAUAAAAUUUGUUGUAAGAUAUAUGAUUUUAACCUCAAGAUAUAUUUGCUGUUGUAAUCUAAAAUUUCUGCAAAAUGUAUGAUUCCACCUCAUUAUUAU
Molecule: long non-coding RNA, 1275 nt
Organism: Raphanus sativus (radish)
Lineage: Eukaryota; Viridiplantae; Streptophyta; Magnoliopsida; Brassicales; Brassicaceae
Exons: 4
Source: RefSeq, a predicted model, not a curated record